AACAAUAUCCUGAUGCUGAAUGAGUGGGACAUACAUGCUCCAGCAUCAGUGAUUUUGUUGC
This 61-nucleotide microRNA precursor is filed under the name Xenopus tropicalis (tropical clawed frog). RNAcentral describes it as "Xtr-Mir-338-P2_pre stem-loop". It matches the Rfam family "mir-338 microRNA precursor family", at positions 6 to 65 of the family's 69-position model. The record is from RNAcentral. Lineage: Eukaryota; Metazoa; Chordata; Amphibia; Anura; Pipidae.